CUACGGGAGGCUCCAGUGGGGAAUAUUGCACAAUGGGCGCAAGCCUGAUGCAGCAACGCCGCGUGAGGGACGAAGGCCUUCGGGUUGUAAACCUCUUUUAGCAGGGAAGAAGCGAAAGUGACGGUACCUGCAGAAAAAGCACCGGCUAACUACGUGCCAGCAGCCGGGGUAAUACGUAGGGUGCAAGCGUUGUCCGGAAUUAUUGGGCGUAAAGAGCUCGUAGGCGGUUUGUCACGUCUGCUGUGAAAUUUCGAGGCUCAACCUCGAACUUGCAGUGGGUACGGGCAGGCUAGAGUGCGGUAGGGGAGAUGGGAAUUCCUGGUGUAGCGGUGGAAUGCGCAGAUAUCAGGAGGAACACCAAUGGCGAAGGCACAUCUCUGGGCCGUAACUGACGCUGAGGAGCGAAAGCGUGGGGAGCGAACAGGAUUAGAUACCCCAGUAGUC
This 444-nucleotide ribosomal RNA is filed under the name uncultured bacterium. RNAcentral describes it as "partial 16S ribosomal RNA". It matches the Rfam family "Bacterial small subunit ribosomal RNA", at positions 339 to 795 of the family's 1533-position model. The record is from RNAcentral.